UUCAUUCUUAUAUUUAUGGUGGUCCAAACAAGUUUUCAAAUGAAAUAUUAAGAUAAGAUUUGAGUGUUUAAAAAAAAUUGAUUACAUAAACAAGUUCUAAUCUAGGAUAUUAUAAGAUAGUCCAAAGGUUAAUACACAUUAUCCAAAAAAUACAAAGUGUUACAAUUGAAUAAACAAGGUUAUGCUGCAUGUCCAGCUAUUGAAAACAGAGCCUUCAAAGAAACCAUUGCCAAAAGACCAUCCUUUGGAUUGAAGCACCCUAAACCAAAUUCCCUCAUGGAACUGGUACAGCAGUCGUCCGUUCCCACUUGAAAUUGGAUUUGCCUUUGCGACCUGCGAAGAAAUAAAAGCUUAAGUCAAAAGUCUUAUCAUAAGCACUUAAAAAACUGAAGAAUAAUUAAUAAUUAAUCAGGUAAAAGCUUUGCACAGAGGACCACAAUGAACGCCCAUAAAUGUAUUUCGCUACAAGUUCAACAGUAAUGAAUCCACAAAAUAAAAAUCCCACGAAAUCUGGGAUGAGCAAAAGAUAUCCUGACAGAUUAUCCUAGGAGUUACUAGCUCAUCAUGAAGAGGAUAAGCUACACAGUCUCAAUAUUAGUACCCAGAGAUAACACUGAGUAAAAAAAAACCAUUAAUUUUCGGCAAGAAAUCAAAAUAACUUUUCAUCAACACAACCAUCUAAAAGCGCUCAAAGGUAAAGAAGAACGGAGGAAGACGAAAAGAGUUAAAAAUUUAGGAGGAAACUUAUCUUGAACGCCGCGGAGAAGACGUCGCCGACGAUCCACUUCCGAUCAAGUAUACCCCUUCUUUCUCCUUCGCUUAAAAUAUUUGCAUCAUUUUAUUCGCCUCGAAGAGCUGACCAAAACCCCCAUAACAAUUGCUUGAAAUCUCCGCCGUAUAGCUUCAUUUGCAGAGUUAGGGUUUGACCUUGAAUGUUUAUAUUUAAUUUGUUUUUGUGUUUGUUUGGCUUGAGGAGGAGAUUUAUAUGGUUUGGUUUGUGAAAAUUUCCGUUUAGGAUUUUGUGUGUGAUUUAAGAUCUCCGAUCUGAGACACUGGUUAGCCUUUUGUUGUUUUCGUGACCGGAUCUGUGAUCGUGAGGUUAGAAUAGGUAGGGUUGGUGUUUCGAGUUUAGACUUUGGGGUAGAGGUUCGCCGGAGAAGAAGGUGGCGCCGCCGCCGUUGGCCGGCCACCACCGUCUUCUCCGGCAGGUCGCGACCGAAGGGAUGGUCGGAAAUUGCAGAUCAAUUUCUUUCAUUUUCAAGUGAAGAGAGAGAAGGUAGGUUACAAAAUGAAGUUGUUCUGUUGAAGUGGGGAUUUAAGGCGUGGCCUUUUGGAUAAGUACGGUGGUGACAAGUGUCUCCACCGUGGACACUUGUCACCGGUUGUUUGAACUUUUCUAGUGGAUUCUAUGUGACGCUCAUGGACCUUUACCGUGCACUAGCAUAUUUAUCGUUCGUCCACCCUUGUUGACUUAAUCAAGUCACGAGAUCUAACGGCCUUUGAUUCGGAUGCACGGUUAAUUCGUUGACCAGGAGAUCCACUGGAUUCAUGGGCUGAGGCUGGGGCCUCCGAAUUGGGCCCAAAAUCUUGCCUUUUCGCACCCCUUUACUGUCAUGCAGUAAGCCCAUCUUUUAAAUACUACUUAUUUAUUUUCACCAAUUUUCUCUUCCCAUAUUUUUAUGUAAAAUAUAUAUAUAUAACUAUUAUUACCAUAAACUUAAUUUAGCUAUUUCAUUUACUUAACUAUUAUUUUAAAUAUUUAUUUGUAAAACUCAAAAUUAAUCAUGGAUUUGAUGCUUUAUUUGUAAACUUAAAAUUAAUUGUUAAUUUAAUUUGUAUAUUUGUUUGAGCCAUCAUUUUCGUAUAUGUUUAUUAAACUCAUUGGUGCAACUUCUAGGUCCGAAUGAAUCAUGUUCUAUCUCAUAUCUUUUCAUAUUAGCAUUCAUCAUUUAAUUAUCAUAAUAAAUCAUUAAAAUCACACAAUUCUCGAUUCAAAGGUCGAGCCUAUUUUCAAACACCCUUGUAAGCCGAUUGCUUUUAAGCAUCGCCAUCAACCUCACGUAGCUUGCUCUUGGGCUUUCUUACAAUGAGACCUAGUCGAUUAUUAAUUGACCGAUUAGAUGAACUAUUCACUAAAUAAAAUCCACUUCAUUCGUAAACAUAAAUUUAAAACCUCGAUCCAACAUCGAGUAUUCUUUAUUAAAAUUAAAUUAAAAUACCUAAUCACAAUUAGAUAUCAUUUCAUUUGGAAAUGAAAUAGGAGAUGGUUUUAAGUUUUCAACUCCUCUCAUCGAUUAUUUGAAUACGAGUUCUUUUACUCGGUUAGUCGAAUAAUCGUCAUUUCUAAUCCACUUAAGCAUAAUUCAAUCAAAGCGUUCUUACAAUAAAUAAAAAAAAUGAAAUGGGGAAUGGUUUUGAGUUUUCAACUCCUCCCCUCGAAUGUUUGGAUACGAGUUUUCUUACUCGGUCAGUUAAACACUCGUCAUUUUGUUAUAAACUUCUAAAACCCGAUUAAAUCAAAUUAUUUUCAUAAUAAGCUAAAUGAAAAGGGAGAUGACUUUGAGUUUUCAACUUCUCACCCCAACUGUUUGAAUACGAGUUCUCUUACUCGGCCAGUCAAACAAUUGUCAUUUUUUACAAAACGUACAACUUAGUCAAAUCAUUUUCAUAACAAAUUAUACGAAAAAGGAGAUGGUUUUGAGUUUUCAACUCCUCUUCUCAAAUGCUUGGAUAUAAGUUGUCUUACUCAGUCAUUCAAGUACUUGUCGUUCAUUCUAAAAUACGUCAACCAUACGCAAACUAAUUUUCAUAAUCACUCAGGUGAAAAAGAUGUUGGUGUAAGCCCUAGAGGCCAAUACCUUUUGGUACUUGUAUCGAAUUAUUUAUUAAUUAUAAAAGGCAUUUUCUUUAUUAUGGUUGAUUAAUAAAGCCCCUGGAAUAGAUAGUCCGUUUAAUGUAUUAAGUGUGACUUAAUCAUGAGAACACAUUAAACUUAAGAACGGUAUUCUUAAAGUAUCCGUAGUCGAGCUUUAGUGUGAAGUGGGAUAACAUUAAAGCAUUAAGACUAUUAUGUUUGUAGACUGAUGAUCACGUCUCAUGGAUCAUGGAUAAAAAGUUAUCAAGUCUUAAACAUAGGUAUGAAUAUUAGGAGUAAUAUUUAUACCGGAUUGACCCGCUAUGAGAAUACUAUAUCAAACGUUAUGCAAAGUGUCAUAAGUUAUUCUCAUGGUGAUAAUAGUGUAUUCCACUCUUCGACCUGAAACCACUAUGGACCCUAGAUGUAGAGUCGAGUGCUUUAUUGCUGAUCCAACGUUGUCCGUCACUUGAUAACCAUAAAGACAGUUAAUGGGUACUCCACAAAGCAUGCUGAGGGACAUGAGUGACCUAGAUGGAAUUUGCCGAUCCUGCAUAACAGGAUAAAUGUCUAUGGGCCCCAAUAUUGAACUGGACAAGGAUGACACGGUCUAUGCCUUGUGUUUAAUAUAGACAUAAGGGCAAAAGGGUAAUUAUACACAUAAGUAUUAUCACAAAAGGAAUUGUCAGAUCACAUGACAUUUUUGUGUUUGGGUAGCAGUGAUGUGUUGCUAGAUAUCGCUCACUUUUUAUUAUGUUAAAUACGUGAUUUAAUAUAUUGUCAACGCGCGAAAACCUACAGGGUCACACACAAAGGACGGAUUGAUGAGAGAUAGAGUAACUAAGGAAUACCGUAAGGUACGGUGCCCUUAAGUGAGUUAUGGAACAUCGUAAGGUACGGUGUACUUAAGUAGAAUACUAAAUAUGGUAAGGUACCAUGUGCUUAAGUGAUUUUGGGCAUAUUAUAAGAUAUGGGCCAAAAUACACUUAAGUGGGAUUUUAGCUUGAAGCCCACACAAGUGGUUCUAUAAAUAGAACCCUUGUGCAGAAGCAUUAAUUGCAGUUGCAUUAUUUCGUUUUUUCUCUCUCUCUCUCUCACUCAAAGCCUUCAUUCGUACCAGCUAGCACUGAGAUUGAAGGAAUCCGUUCGUGUGGACUGAGUAGAGACGUUGUCAUCGUUCAAUGUUCGUGAUCACUUCGUGGAUCUGCAUCAAAGGGUUUUAAUCGUCAUAAGAGAUUUGCACCAAAGGUUUCAAUCGUCACAAGAGGUAAAUAUUUUAUCACUGAUCAUGACCAUUCGUAAGGAUUUCUAAAGGAGAAAAUUUUAAUUUCCGCUGCGUUUUGGACCACAAUUCUCCUUCAAAAGAAAGUGGUCUAGAGUCUUCUAUUCCCUUUCCCGUUUAUUAGGAUACGAGUUGUCUUAAUUGAUUAUCCGAGUAUUCGUCAUCCAUUUAAAACACCUUAACUAUUAUCAAAUCCUUUGUAUAAUUAAAGAUGAAAAAGAAAGUGGUCUAGAGUCUUCUCUUCCCUUUCCCGACUGUUAGGAUACGAGUUGUCUUACUCGAACAUCCAAGUAAUUGUCAUCCAACCAAAAGUAUCUCAACCAAUCAUCCAACAUAUUAAUCCAACUUGUCACCCCCGUGUGGCCAAAACUCUUUUCAAAAAGACGCUGUUUAAUCCCUUCUAACGCGCAUAACAAACUAGUGCUCAAGCCUCCGCCGAGAGUAGACAAGCCAAAAUUUAGCCUUUAAAAUGCGAUCUAAACAGAUGUUCAUUAAAAAACACACCAACCAACCGUAGUUCCCCGAACUAUAAAUGCUCUGAUUUCCUUAUUGCACCAUAAGGAUAAGUAGGCAAGAGAUUGUUGUAUCUUCGCGAGCACACUAAUAAAAAACCUCCCAUUUCCCCCUUCUGAGGUCUUCAUCCAUAUCUAUUAUCAACUCUAAUUACUCGAAUAAAACAAACAAACAUAAAUUAACACUCAAAUCACAUAAUUGAACUAAAAGGUUUCCGUUGAGUACAACGAACGUGAAGGGUGCUAAUACCUUCCCCUUGCGUAAUCCACUCCCGAACCCGAAUAUGGUUGCGACGACCAUUAUUCUUAUUUUUAAAGGUUUUAUCGCUAUUUUCCUAUUCCUUCAUGGGAAUGAAUAAAGUUCGGUGGCGACUCUUUUUCGAACUAAACAUUUUUCCGCGUCCAUCGCGAGGGAUCACAUUUUUUUUGAGGUGCGACAGAGGGCGACUUUGCUGGGGAUUAGCUCCAAGCAAAAGAGAGUGAAGCCUAAUUUAGUUCAGUUGAUGUAUUGUGUGUUAAUUUUGUUUAUUUGUUUUUUAUUUAUCCUGUUAUAAUUAUUGUCUGGUGUUUUAUUGGCUAUGUAUUAUUGGGGUUCUCUGGUUGGUGAUACUUUGUGAGAUAGGCUCUCCACCCGAGUCUGAGAAAAACCAUAAGAUUAAGUUGGUGGUUGCGUAGUGAAGAUAGGCUCUCCACCCGAGUCUGAGAAAAACCAUAAGAUUAAGUUGGUGGUUGCGUAGUGGACGCCCACAAGGAGUCUUCCUUGUUGGGAAGAUACGAAGACCCCGCCUAGAGGAGAUUCUCUUGAAAUAUUAUUGCCCGACAAGUUUUCGUCACGAUGAUAGUAUUCUCAAGUUGGAUCAAUGACUCUAGGGACCUUUAUACCCACUAUAUCUGGCGGUUAUGUAAUAUUUACAUGAAAAGUCCCAAACUUAUUGGGUUAAUAUGAAAGCCCCAAUCAGAUGAGAUCCCUUAGGCGUAUUACUACCUUACAGUAGUAUUUCCAAUCUCGAUCUAUGACUCUGAGAACCUUAUUAGAACCUUGGACUCAAGAGUUGUGUAGUAUGGACCCACUAGGAUUUUUCCUCUUUGGGACCAUACGAAGGCCUCACCCAGACGAGACUAUUUUUGGGGAUGUUAUUGGUGGAUGAGCUUUCGUCAUGACAAUAACCUUCGUAAAUAGUGAUUGAUGACUUUGUGAACCUCUUAAAUUUAGCAUUAUUCCAAAAGGGUUUUGUUUAGUAACCAAGGAUACCCAUUCUCAAGGCUUGUGUGUUGACCUACCUGUGGCAUGCAUAACAUCAUUCAUAACAUGACAUUCAUAUUAUUUUAUUUCCAAGGAAUCUGAGUAUCAUAAGUUGUAGGAAUUCAAGAAGCUUGGAAUCAAGCAAAAGAAACAUUCACUCUUUCAAGUUUAAAGACCCCGAUCUAAGGAGAUUAUAUGACUUGGUCUCUCAGAUGCACCCGGUGUACAUAAUCAACUUUGGAAAGAAUUAUGGAAAUCUGCUCAACAUCCUCAACCAACGAGUGGACCAUACAACUUUAGUCACUCUAGCUCAAUUCUAUGACCUACCUUUAAGAUGUUUCACAUUCCAAGACUUCCAGCUAGCACCAACUUUGGAAGAAUUCAAGCGUCUUGUUAGGAUUCCUAUGAAGAACAAGCCACUAUUUGAAGGGAUAGAUGAAUCUUUGCCCCUUGAGAUCAUUGAUAGCAUGCUUCACAUGGACGAAAGGGAAGUAGAGGCUAACCUAGAGACCAAAGGGAAUACCAAAGGAUUUUCGCUAAGUUUUCUCUUGGAAAGAGCCCAUACCCUACUAAAAGCAGAAAGUUGGGACGCUUGUUACUCAGCUAUUGUGUUGGCCAUCUAUGGAAUCGUCCUGUUCCCAAAUAUGGAUGGUUUCAUAGACAUGGCUGCUAUUUGCGUUUUCCUUACUGGAAACCCAAUACCCAUCUUGUUAGCUAAUGUUUACUAUUACAUGAGCCAUAGGUACACCAAGAAGAAAGGGGUGAUUGCUUGUUUUGCUCCUUUACUAUAUCAGUGGUUUCUUGAGCAUCUUCCAAAGACAGGUGUUUGGGUAUAACAGACAGAUGUUAGUUGGCCUCAGAAAUUGGGAUCACUCCGAUCCGAAGAUCUUUCUUGGUAUUCCAAAGAAUACAUCAACAUGGACAUCGUAUUCAGCUGCGGAGAUUUCCCUAAUCUACCACUAAUUGGAACUCAAGGAUAUGUGAAUUCUAACUCGGUUCUAUCACUAAGACAACUUGGCUACCCAAUGGAAGGCCCUACAAAGGCAAGGUCUUUGGAAGCUUUUUUGUUGCUUGGCUUUAGGUUUGAGAAUCCUAGCUUGUUCCAACGAAUCAAAGAGGCUUGGAAGAGUGUCAAUCGAAAAGGGAGAGCUGAUUUGGGGAGAGCUAAUGGGAUUACAAAAGAACCAUAUUUUCAUUGGGUAAAGGAAAGGGUGGAGAUGAUCAAAAUGCCAUUUGUCACUCAGACACCUGUACCUCUUCCUGAACCUAAGCUCACCCAUGUCCCUAUUGAAGAAGUGGAUGUACUCAAGACCACCAUGGAAAAGUUAGAAAGAGAGAAUGAAGAGUUGAAGUUAAAACUCCAACAAGUCAUCAAUGAGAAAAACACCAUGAAGUGGGAGCUUGAGAGAAUGGAUGUACAACUUCAAGCACAUGUGGAAAAAUUCAACAAAGAAGAGCAUAAGAGGAAAAAGAUCAAAGUGGGACUAGAACAAGCUGACCAUUGUCUAGAUACUCUUAAGGGUCAAUUACGACGAGCCCAGAAAGAAUGUCAAGACAAUGAGAAUUGGUGGCAUCUGGCCACAAAUGAAAACAAGACGAUAAGAGAUACACUUGGGGAUCAUAUAAAAGAACUCACCAUUUCUGUUCGUCAUGCAAAGGCUGAAGCGAAUCAAGAACGUCGACUCAAAAAUAUAGCCACCGAAGCUUCUAGAGUUUCACCCAUGAUAUGGGAGGAGAAGUGUCGAGAAAUGAGAGACGCAAAAGAGUCUGCCAACUAUUGGAAGAGCCAGCUAGAGUUAUUACACCAAGACAACUCCAUAUGGUUGAAGGAACGAGAGUAUGUAACUGAAGAUUAUGAAUCCCUUAAGAAGACCAUAAACUUCUUGCAAGGAGAUAGGGAUAAGUUUCGUGCAAAGAUCGAUGGGCUAGUGGGGUUCUGUAAUUGGGCGGUUAAAGAAUUAUCAUGGAAGUUAAGAGACACAGUUGAAGAGUUGAAGGAAGAUAGCACACCUCCAACCAUAAUCAGUUUUAUUUUGCUCUGUAGAGGGUUGCUGAAGAGAUUCAAGGAAGAACUAGAAGAGCUCCAAACCAGAAAGCCUGCAAUUUAAUUUUCCUAUGUCUUAUAUUUUGUUCCUUUGACAAUGUAUUUUGAACUAGGGCCUUUUUGGACCCCUAUGUUAUGUACUUGAAUGAUUGACGUUUAAAAUUACUCCAUUAUUGCUAUUCUAAGUAUUUCUUGUUUCUUAGAAUUACUAACUGUCGCACCUCGAAAAAAUGCGAUCCCUCGCGAUGGUCGCGGAAAAGUUUGUGUUCGAACAGAGUCGCCACCUAACUUUAUUUAUCCCAAUGAAGGAAUAGGAAAAUAUCGAUAAAACCUUUAGGAAAUGGAAUAAUGGUCGUCGCAACCAUAUUCGGGUUCAGGAGUUGAUUACGCCAGGGGAAGAUAUUAGCACCCCUCACGUCCGUUGUACUCAAUGGGAACCUUUUAGUUUGAUUUUGCGAUUUGUAUGUUAACUUAGGUUGUUUGUUAUCUUCGGGUUAUAAAUAUAUUGAAAGGAGAUGGAUGGAAACCUCAGAAUGGAGAAAAGGGAGGUUUUUUAUUAGUGUGCUCGCGAAGAUACAACAAUCUCCUGCCUACGUAUCCUUAUGGUGUAGUAAGGAAGUCAGAGCAUUCGUAGUUCGGGAGACUACGGUUGGUUGGUGUCUUUUAGUGAACAACUAUUUAGAUCGUGUUCUAAAGGCUAAACGCUGGCUUGUCUACUCUCGGCAGAGGCUUAAGCACUAGUUUGUUAUGCCCAUUAGAAAGGAUUAAAUGGUUUCUUUCUGAAAAGAGCUUUGGUCACACUGGGUGAAAAGUGGGAUUAAUAUGUUAGAUAUUUUGAUUGGUUGAGAUGUUUUUAAUUGGAUGACGAUUACUCGGAUAGUCGAGUAAGGCAACUCGUAUCCUAACAGUCGGGAAAGGGAAUAGAAGACUCUAAACCACUUUCUUUUUCAUCCUUGAUUAUAAAAAAAAUUAUAGUAAUUAAGGUGUUUUGAAAGGAUGACGAAUACUCGGAUAAUCGAGUAAGACAACUCGUUUCCUAAUAAUCAGGAAAGGGAAUAGAAGACUCUAGACCACUUUCUAUUUCAUCUGAGUAUUUAUGAAAAUAAGGUUGUAUAUUGUUGACGUAUUUUGGAAUGAACGACAAGUACUUGAAUGACUAAGUAAGACAACUCAUAUCCAAGCAUUUGAGAAGAUGAGUUGACAACUCAAAACCAUCUCCUUUUUCGUACAGUUUGUUAAGAAAAUGAUUUGAUUAAGUUGCGGAAAAUGAAAAUUGUUCGAUUGACCGAGUAAGAGAACUCGUAUUCGUCCAAUUGAGGAGUGAAAUUGAAAACUCAAAGUCAACUCCCUUUUAAUUUAGCUUACUGUGAAGAUAUUUUGAUUUAAUCGGGGUUUAGAAAUUUGUAGAGGAAUGACAAUUAUUUGACUAAUCAAGUAAGAGAACUUGUAUUCAAAUAAUCGAGGAGAGAAAUUUAAGACUCAAAGUUAUCUCCCUCUUUAUUUCUUAUUGUAAAAGAAUUUGAUGUAUUUGUUCUUAAGUGGAUUAGAAAUGAUGAUUAUUCAAUUAAUCGAGUAAAAGAGUUCGUGCUUAAAUAAUCGAGGAGAGGAGUUGAAAACUCAAAACCAUUACCUCUUUUAUUCCUAAGUGAAAUAAUGUUUAAUUAUGAUUAGGUAUUUUAAUUCUUAAUAAAGAAUACUCGAUGUUGGAUCGAGAUUUUAAAUUUGCAUUUUAUGAAUGAAUUGAAUUUAUUUAGUGAAUAGUUCAUCUAAUCGAUUAAUAAUAACCGAAUAGGUCUCAUUGUAAGAAGGCCCAAGAGUAAGCCAUGUGAGGUUGAUGGCGAUGCUUUUACAAGCGAUCAACUUACAAAGGUGUUUUGAAAAUGGGCUCGACUUUAAAUUGAGAAAUAUGUGAUUUAUUUUUGAAAUUGGUUUAAAUGAUUUUAAAUCGGUGAAAUUGACAUAACCUUCCCACAAUUAUAACAUGUCAUCCAUAUGCACUUGAGACUCGGUAUAAAUAAAUAAAUACAAAAUAAUCAUGCACAUACCCUCCAUAAAAAAACAAACAAUUAUCUAAAUUAUAAGUGACCUUAAUAAUAAUAUAAUUAAUUGAUUAAAUAUUUAGUAGAUUAUUUUGAUUAAAUAAUAAGUAAUUAAAAAAUGAUGAUAUAACCAAAUAAUUGCAUAUUUACCAUUAAAUAUUAAUUAUAAUAAUAACAAUAUAAUUGCAUAUUUACUAUUAAGUACUACUACUACUACUAAUAAUAUAUAAUUAUAACUUUGAAAGAAAGUAAAUAAAAUAAAAUAUUGCUUUUUAUUUGAUAGCCAUAAAAUUCUAGUGUAUAUUUUUUAUAUGUAUAUAAAUAAAAGAAAAUAAGUGAAUAAAUUAAAAAAAAUAAAGAAAAUGGGCCAAGCAAGAGAAGAGCCCAACUCUGGGCGCUGCUGGAAAUAGAACAGGGGAUUUAUUAGCAAAAAAUCUUUGGGCCCAACCCUGAGUUGGCCCAAAACGAAACCAUCAAGGCCCUGAAUGGCUUGGUCAAACAUUGACCUCCUAUGGAGAUGUUUGGGCCCUUAGAUCAGUGGACUAUGACCUGGUCAACGAAUCCAAAGGGAGGCUUGUGAGGGCGCACCAUUAUAUGGUGGGGGGAUCCACACAGGAUCCCCUGGUUGACCUAGGAGUCAACCAACCAUGUGGCGCUAGCAGAAAGGGCCAUGUGGCGCCCAUGCAGCCACUCUCAUUUGUAUAUAAAAACAAAAAAUUGAGAGAGAAAGCCAUUUGCUCAUCUCGUUCUCUCUCUUCACUCUUAAGAAUGAAGUUGCUUUUCAACUUCCUUUUCUUCUCCAUCACCACCCCUCACGGCCAAACCUGCCGAAGAAGACGGUGGCGGUCGGCCAACCGCGGUAGCGCCGCCCUCUUCUCCGGCGACUCUCCACCCAAAACCCAAACCUUUAAACACGAACCCCACUUGUUUUUGGCCGGUGAUUUCAAAUUCGGCCUUGUUUUUCUACGAAUCCUUCUCAAAUGGCCGGAUCGAGGCCCUCCUUCAAAACACAAACCUAAAACCUAACCCUAAACUCUCUCUCUCUCUCUCUCACGCGGCCAACACACCCUAGUUCAUCAUAUCCUAAAUACCAACCAAUAUCCUAACCCUAAACUUUGAGUUUUAAGACUCUACAGUUGCGCUUUGAAGAAAAUAAAAGAGGGAUUUCAAUCCAUGUGGAAAAAUGAAGAUGAUGGUACAAAUGAUUUAAACGAGAACGAAAAUUUUACUUGGUUGGAGUUAGACGCCGACGACGUCUCCCCACCGUUCAAGAUGAGUCUUUUUUUCUUCCUUUUUAUGCUCUUUGUCUUUCUCUAUUUUCGUUUUGAAUCAUGUUGUUGUUUUGUUUGAAUCUUAGGGUUUGGAUUUUUUAUGAAUUAUUUUUUAUUGUUGCUUUCUUGGAUUUUUCAGAAUGUGUUGUUCGUUUGGUUUGAGGUUAAUAGAGAAAAAUAUUUUGAUUGUUUUGUCUUGGAUUUUUUAAAAACGUUCUUACUGUUAAUUUUGUUCUGGGUAUUUAUAUGUUGAUUUUUAGAUCUUAAGACAACUUGUUAAGUUAUCUCUUCCAGAUUUCAUGGGAUAAUUAUUCUAUGGAUUUAAGGUUGUCUGGAUUAGAUAUUGGAACACAUCCUUGGGUGUUUACUUUGGUUUACUGUGCAAAGAAUUAAUCUGUCCCUCUUAUCAAUUGUUUUUCAGUUUUUUAUAAGUGCUUAUUUGAUAAGCUCUUCUUAAUCUUUGAAUUGGUUUUGCAGGUUUUGUAAAAGGUGAAUGGACAUUGAUUGAAAAGGGGGCCUGCGCUUACUUUAGGGAUUGGAAUUGGGCGCUGUGAAUUUCAAAAAGCUUUUGGAAAAGUCUUUGAAGAGCUGCUUCAAACUGCUGUAUUCUACCGUUUGUUUCCAACUUUUUCAACUUUAUUUAGAUGUACUCAGAACUUUUGGACAAUGUAUAAGAAUUUGGGGACUGUUUGUAAUACGUACAAAUUUAAUUUGAAACUUAUUUUUUGGAUAGUUAUAUAACUAUUUUGGAUUAUUUGGAAUUUGGAAUUAAUUAUGUAACUUUGGAUUAUUGUGAAUUUCUUGGACUAUUUGGAAUUUUGGACUAUGCAUCUAAUUAUGCAAUUAAUCAUUUUUAACAUUUUAAAUCUUGCCUUAACAAUUUAAUUGUAUUAAUCAAAAGAAAGUUUAAACUAUAUCUCGAACUGAAAAUGGAUUGGGCCAAAAUGCAAUUUAAUGGAUUUUUAACUUGGUCAACUUUAGCACAUUAAUAUUAACCAAAAUAAAAUGUGCCAAAAGGCCUAAAAUAAAACAUGUCACAAAAAAUAUUGCAAUUUCAAACUUUGAUCAUAAAAACCAAUCAAAUACUCAUACAUGUGGUAUCUUGAUCUAAACCAACAUACUUAUACUUAGAAAAGAUGCAAGUUUAGUUUAAGGUUUUUUAUGAAUGGUUUAGAGAUUUGGCAUAUAUAUUUGAGAUGUGCAAAUGAGUUUAAUGACAAGUGAUCAUAAUCAUGUCUCUUAAUACUUACUGAUAAUCAAAUGGACUUUGGAUAAGUGACGUAAAAAGAUUUGAACCACACUUUUCAAUAUUAAUUAUGGACAUGUCUAUGUGAAUGGGCCUUUUGAAACAAAGAGAUCUCAUGGAUAAACCAAAAUGGGCCUUGUUAACCAAAAAUGCACAUACCAUCCCAUGCUUUAGUAAGAGACAAAUGCAACAGAUAUCUUCUUAAGGAUCUCAACAGAUAAAAAUGUCAUUGAAGACUUGAUGUCACCAAGGACUGAAAAACCCUAAAAUAGAACCUACAUCUUAAGAUAAAAUUCAUGUUAUAACAUUGGGUAGUGAAUGCAGGUUGAAGAUUUUUCCUUACCCGGACAAAAUUAGGGUAUGACAGCUGCCCCUAUUUAAUUAUCUCGAACCGAAAAGUAAGAAUGAUAGCAGUCUUCGUGCAUUCGCGGUGGGAGAUAAUUAAAUACAAAAAGACCCAAAUUUUGUCCUAGGAAAUGCAAAGAAGAAAAUAUAGGAAGAAAAUGCAGUGAGAAAUGGUAAAAGAAAUUAUCCUACAGUAAAAUGGAACAGUCAAGACCUUCUGAGAGUUGUCAGAACAGUAUCUUGGACAUCUCAGUCGAGAUAUGUUAGUAAUGGAAUGACAUCCCUAGCUAAACCUUAAGACUUUUUCUAGGAUGCUAGAAUAAUAUAAAGAAAAUCUGGCAUGAGACUCUUCAUUUUGAUGAAGCAGCAUCUCAAAUAGUAAAAAUGAGAUUCUCUGUAUCGGGUCGAAACAGCAUCUUAUAUGAUAGAAUUAAGAUAUUCCAGCAAAGAAAAAAUACCUUAAUUGAAUCUAAGACUCUCCGAGGAUACUAGAGUAGUAUCUCCAAAAAGAAUCUGAAAUAAGACUCUUCAUAUUGAUGAAGCAACAUCUCAAACAAUAAAAAUGAGAUUCUCUGUAUCGAGUCGAAACAACAUCUUAUAUGAUAGAAUUAAGAUAUUCCAGCAAGGAAAAAAUACCUUAAUUGAAUCUAAGACUCCCCGAGGAUAUUAGAGCAGUAUCUCUACAAGAAAAAUCUGAAAUGAGACUCUUCAUAUUGAUGAAGCAGCAUCUCAAAUAGUAAAAAUGAGAUUUUUUGUAUCGAGUCGAAACGACAUCUUAUAUGAUAGAAUUAAGAUAUUCCAGCAAGAAAAAAUACCUUAAUUGAAUCUAAGACUCUCCGAGGAUAUUAGGGCAGUAUCUCUAAAAGAAAAUCUGAAAUGAGACUCUUCAUAUUGAUGAAGCAGCAUCUCAAACAGUAAAAAUGAGAUUCUCUGUAUCGAGUCGAAACAUCAUCUUAUAUGAUAGAAUUAAGAUAUUCCAGCAAGAAAAAAAUACCUUAAUUGAAUCUAAUACUCUCCGAGGAUAUUCGAGCAGUAUCUCUAAAAGAAAAUCUGAAAUGAGACUCUUCAUAUUGAUGAAGCAGCAUCUCAAACAGUAGAAAUGGGAUUCUCUGUAUCGAGUCGAAACAUCAUCUUAUAUGAUAGAAUUAAGAUAUUCCAACAAGGAAAAAAUACAUUAAUUGAAUCUAAGACUCUCCGAGGAUAUUAGAACAGUAUCUCUAAAAGAAAAUCUGAAAUGAGACUCUUCAUAUUGAUGAAGCAGCAUCUCAAAAAGUAAAAAUGAGAUUCUCUGUAUCGAGUCGAAACAUCACCUUAUAUGAUAGAUAUAAGAUAUUCCAGCAAUUAAAAAAUACCUUAAUUGAAUCUAAGACUCUCCGAGGAUAUUAGAGCAGUAUCUCUAAAAGAAAAUAUGAAAUGAGACUCUUCAUAUUGAUGAAGCAGCAUCUCAAAUAGUAAAAAUGAGAUUCUCUGUAUCGAGUCGAAACAACAUCUUAUAUGAUAGAAUUAAGAUAUUCUAGCAAGGAAAAAAAUACCUUAAUUGAAUCUAAGAUUCUCCGAGGAUACUUAGAGCGGUUUCUCAAGCAAAUAAAUGAGACUCUUCAGAUAAAUGAAGCGGUAUCUCAAACAAAUAAAUGAGAUUCUUCAGAUAAAUGAAGUAGUAUCUCAAAUGUUCGUCUGUUGGGGGAUUUUUUUUUUGAAAAGACUCCUUUUGGAGGAAAUAUAUUGGCAAAACUCUGCAGGGGAAAAGCUCAUAAGAGACUUUUUUAUGGUAACCUCUGCUUGGGAAACAAUGAUUGUAAAGAAAAAUGCUAGGAAUAUCAUUAUUAAUCAUAAAGUUGAAAAAUGAUUUGUUGAGAAAUAAUCCCACGAGCAUAUGCAGGGUAAUUACUUCAUUUGGAAAUGAGAAAUGUCUAAGAUACACAUGAAUGACCUUGGAUCCUGAUAUUUUAUAUUUGAUUUUUGUAUGACGUUCCACUUUAGGUGGGAAUUCCAUGCAUGGGAUGAUGCAUGAGAUGCAUGCAAGUAUGCAAUUGCCGGGGAUAUUUGGCUGGGCAUGUAGGAAUGCGAAUGAUUUUUUUAUUUUGUCAAAAUUCCAGUCUUGUGGGGAGUUUUUAUGCAUGCAUAUGUUGAUGAUUGGUAUGACUAUGUUAAUUUCCUGUUUGGUAGGAAGACCAUUUAUGAAUGAUUUAUAUGAUGCAUGUUAGAAUGCAAAUGGGUAAUUGGAUAUGCCCCGGUUAAGACGUUUUUGCUUUGGGGUAUGAUGCCAAUAAUGUGGAUUUUUGUUAUUUGGGGCGAUUAAUGAAGAUCAAGUUUUGAUGCCCCACUAGGUGAUUUUGGGAAUAUAUUUGGGUUGCUCCAAGUUACCGAGGGGUUCAAACUUCUCAACACGCGAUACUCCAUCUAUGAUUUAUCAAUGUUUCUGCUGGAAACGUAAUGGAGCCUUGCCCCAGUUUGGCUAUACCAUGAGUAUAUUUAUGAGAGGUGUGAAUUAAUGGUUGAAAGGAACAUAGGUAUCUGCAAACAGUCCUACACCUUUAUGAAAAACAAGAAUGAACUUGGAGACUAAAGGAUUUGUCCGCUUACUGUUUCAAAAGAAAUUUUACCACUUUAUUCAAACAUGUGUUUUAUUUUCUCCAAUAAUUUUUAAAAGUGAUGUUUAUCAAAAAUAAAAUAUGCUUUGCAAACAAACAGAUAAAAUACAAAAAAAUGAUUUGGGCAUAUUGUGUUGAGAAAAUAUCUCUUUUAUUGACUUGACCCUUAAAUGGGCGAUUGUACAUAAAGAUGCAAUUCCUUAAUGAGGUAAUUGUUGUGCAUAGAAACAAAAUGGCAAUGAAAAUUGAGUUCUUAUUGAGUUCCCACACUGCUAUGAUCUUUAUGUCUUUGAUAGUCCGAGCACUUUGCUUUUGAAAAGUAAGGUAGAUUGAUUCUUUGUCUUCGAGGGAUAUGUUAGACACCUGAAAGUACAACUCUUUGCCUUGGAAUUAAUCCCUAACUUUUGCAUGGACCGCCCUUUCGGGUUUUUGAUCCACUGGGAUACCCUUUUUUUGCCUGAAUCUGCCUUUCGGGUUUUCAACUCAGCGGGUCAAUUCUUUUACUUUUAUCCCUAAUUUUUGCCUGGAUCGCCCUUUCGGGUUUUCAAUCCACCGGGAUAGCCAUUUUUGCCUAAAUCUCCCUUUCAGGUUUUCGAUUUAGCGGCUUUUAUUAUUCCACUUUUUUUAGGCGAAGUACUUUUUAACAGCAUCAAUGUUGGUGGGAAGCGGCAACUCAUCACCAUCCAUAGUAGCUAGAAUCAGAGCGCCUCCGGAAAAGGCUCUAACCACCACAAAUGGACCUUCAUAGUUUGGUGUCCAUUUCCCUCUAGAGUCUUUGUGAAUAGGCAAGAUUUUCUUCAGCACCUAAUCUCCCUCUUGAAACACCCUGGGCAGAACUUUCUUGUCGAAUGCCUUCUUAAGACGCCUCUAAUAGAGUUGACCGUGACCUAAUGCUUUCAAGUGUUUCUCCUCAAUAAGGUUGAGCUCGUCGUACCUUGAUUGAACCCAUUCUGCCUCGUCUAGCUUAGCCUCCAUCAAGACUCUCAUUAAUGGGAUCUCCACUUCUAUAGGGAGAACUGCUUCCAUACCGUAUACCAAGGAAUAAGGGGUUGCCCCUGUUGAAGUUCGUACCGACGUGCGAUAACCAUGUAAUGCAAAAGGUAAUAUCUCAUGACAAUCCUUGUACGUGACAACCAUCUUUUGGAUGAUUUUCUUGAUAUUUUUAUUUGCAGCUUCGACAACCCCAUUCAUCUUAGGUCGAUAGGGUGAUGAGUUGUGAUGCUUGAUCUUGAACAUUGUGCAUAACUCCUCCAUGGUCUUUUUGUUGAGAUAGGACCCGUUAUCAGUGAUGAUUUUGUUGGGAAUCCCAUAUCGACAUAUGAUGUUGUUUUUUAAGAAACGGGCGACUACGUGCUUCGUCACAUCCGCGUAAGAUGCGGCUUCCACCCAUUUGGUGAAGUAGUCUAUGACCACCAAGAUAAAUCUGUAUCCAUUAGAUGCUUUGGGUUCUAUCAUCCUAAUCAUGUAGAUGCCCCACAUAGAGAAAGGCCAAGGUGAUGCUAUAACAUUCAACGGGGUAGGCGAUACAUGUAUUUUGUCAGCAUAGGUUUGGAAUUUGUGGCAUGUUCUGGUGUAAUGGUAACAAUCAUCUUCCAUCGUCAACCAGUAGUAACCUGCCCUUAGGAUUUUCUUCGCCAUGGCAUACCCAUUGGCGUGCGUACCGAAAGACCCUUCAUGUAUGUCCCUCAUAAGCUGAUCCGCUUCGUGUUUGUCCACACACCUUAAUAAAACCAUGUCAUAGUUUUGCUUAUACAACACCUCUCUGUUCAAAAGGAACUUUGAUGCCAUCUUCCGGAGGGUCCUUUUGUCAAGGAUGGAAGCCUCUGCCGGAUAUUCCCGCUUCUCCAGAUACCGUUUGAUAUCAAAGAACCGGGGUUUACCAUCUAGCUCUUCUGUUGUCGUCAGGCAAUGAGCAGGUUCGUCAAAACGCCUAAUUUCAAUGUGAGGCUGAUGGUUGGGCCAUAUAAAUUUGUACAUGGAAGCCCAAGUUGCUAAAGCAUCUGCCAUCUGAUUCUCUUCUCGAGGAAUAUGAGAGAAAGUGAUUUUGUCUAACUUUGGGAGUAGCUUCAGCACGUAAUCCUGGUAUGGAAUUAGGUUAGCAUGUCUUAUUUCCCACUCGCCUCUAAUCUAAUGUAUGACUAGCGCGAAGUCCCCGAAUACUUCUAGUACCUUGAUCUUUAACUCAAUGGCUUCUUCCAACCCUAAUAUGAAAGCUUCAUACUCGGCCAUGUUAUUUGUGCAGGUAAAAUAGAGCUUUGUGGUGAAUGGUAGAUGGAAAUUCUUGGGAGACAUCAUCACUGCCCCAAUUCCAUGGCCUAUUGCAUUUGAGGCACCAUCAAACAUGAGCGUCCAGCCUGCUCUUGACUCAAGACUUUUCUCUAGUUCGGAGUCUUCAACAUCCUUAACAACCAUGAUGUUCUCAUUUGGGAAGUCAAAUUUCAAAGAUUGGUAAUCUUCCAGUGGUUGGUGAGCAAGGUGGUAUGCUAAUAUGCUUCCUUUGAUCGCCUUUUGCGCACCAUAUUGGAUAUCGUAUUCUGACAACAACAUCUGCCACAGGGCAAUUCUACCAGUGAGAGUUGUUUUCUCGAAUAUGUACUUGAUGGGAUCCAUUUUAGACACCAACCAUGUCGUGUGAGUUAGCAUGUACUGCCUGAGACGCUUAACGGCCCAUGCGAGUGCACAACAAGUCUUCUUGAGUAAUCAAUAUCUGGUCUCACAAUCAUUAAAUUUCUUGCUCAGAUAAUAUAUGGCAUAUUCUUUUCUACCAGUCUCAUCUUGUUGUCCCAAUACACAACCCAUGGACUCGUCGAGCACAGUUAGAUAUAUGAUGAGAGGUCUCCCUUCUGCAGGGGGCAUCAGAAUUGGUGGCUCUUGCAAGUAUUCUUUAAUUUUAUCGAAGGCUAUUUGACAGUCAUCGUUCCACUCUACGCCUUGAUUCUUCCUCAUGAUCUUGAAUAUUGGUUUAUAUGUUGCAGUAAGGUGAGAGAUAAAUCUGGCGAUGUAAUUUAGCCUUCCCAAGAAACCAUGAACCUCCUUCUCAGUCCUUGGUGCAGGCAUGUUCUGAAUGGCUCGAACCUUGUCAGAAUCUACUUCAAUUCCUCUUUGGCUUACAAUAAAGCCUAAAAGCUUCCCAGAUCGAACCCCAAAUGUGCAUUUGUUAGGAUUAAGUCUUAACCUAAACUUCCUCAAACGAGCAAAUAGUUUCCCCAGGUUGGUGAUAUGUUCUUCUUCUGUAUGGGAUUUGGCAAUCAUGUCAUCGACUUACACCUCAAUCUCUUCAUGAAUCAUGUCAUGAAAGAGAGUCACCAUGGCACGUUGAUAUGUUGCCCCAACGUUCUUUAAUCCAAACGGUAUUACUUUGUAACAAAAGGUGCCCCAAGAGGUAAUGAAUGUGGUCUUCUCCAUGUCCUCGGGAUCCAUUUUAAUUUGGUUGUAUCCUCGAAGAGUCUUAGAUUCAAUUAAGGUAUCAUUCCCUUGUUCGGAAUAUCUUAAUUCUAUCAUAUAAGAUGUUGCUUCGACUCGAUACAGAGAAUCUCAUUUUCUUUACUGUUUGAGAUGCUGCUUCAUCAAUAUGAAGAGUCUCAUCCCAGAUUUCUCUAAGAGAUACUGCUCUAGUAUCCUUGAAAAGUCUUAGAUUCAAUUAAGGCAACAUUCCCUUGUUCGAAAUAUCUUAAUUCUAUCGUAUAAGAUGCUGCUUCGACUCGAUAUAGAGAAUCUCAUUUUCUUUACUGUUUGAGAUGCUGCUUCAUCAAUAUGAAGAGUCUCAUCCCAUAUUUCUCUAAGAGAUACUGCUCUAGUAUCCUCGAAGAGUCUUAGAUUCAAUAAAGGCAUCAUUCCCUUGUUCGAAAUAUCUUAAUUCUGUCGUAUAAGAUGCUGCUUCAACUCGAUAUAGAGAAUAUCAUUUUCUUUACUGUUUGAGAUGCUGCUUCAUCAAUAUGAAGAGUCUCAUCCCAAAUUUCUCUAAGAGAUACUGCUCUAGUAUCCUCGAAGAGUCUUAGAUUCAACUAAGGUAUCAUUCCUUUGUUCGGAAUAUCUUAAUUCUAUCGUAUUAGAUGCUGCUUCGACUCGAUAUAGAGAAUCUCAUUUUCUUUACUGUUUGAGAUGCUGCUUCAUCAAUAUGAAGAGUCUCAUUCUAGUUUUUUCUAGAGAUAUUGCUCUAGUAUCCUCGAAGAGUCUCAGAUUCAAUUAAGGUAUCAUUCCCUUGUUCGGAAUAUCUUAAUUCUAUCGUAUAAGGUGCCGUUUUGUCUCGAUACAGAGAAUCUCACUUUUACUGUUGAGAUGCUGCUUCAUCAAUAUGAAGAGUCUCAUGCCAAUUUUUUUUAGAGGUAUUGCUCUAACAUCCUGAAAAAGUAUUGAGAUUUAGCUGAGAUAUCAUUCCAUUACUAACGUAUCUCGAAUAUGACGUCCAAGAUACUGUUCCGACGACUCCCAGAAAGUCUUGGUUGUCCCAUUUUUUACAUUAGGAUAAUUUCUCUUACUAUUUCUCACUGCAUUUUCUUCCUGUAUUUUAUUCCUUUCAUUUCCUAAGAUAAAAUUUGAGUCUUUCUUGUAUUUAAUUAUCUCCCACCGUGAAUGUACGAAAACUGAUGUCAUUCAUACUUUCCGGUUCGAGGUAAUUAAAUAGGGGCAGCUGUCAUACCCCAAUUUCGUCUGGGUAAGAAAAAUCUUUCACAAGCAUUCACCAACCAGAAGUUAUAAGGCAUAAACUCUAUCUUAGGGUUUCUCAGCCCUAAGCUACUCCAAGCUCUCCAUCCUUCCUAAAGGCACAUUCAAUACUCACAUGAUCAUUAUAAAGAAAACCCUCAGUGGCAUUAAACUUUCAACAAAUCUUUCAGUGGCAUUUCAUCUGUUAAGUUCCUUGUUCAUGACCCAAGAAAACAUCUGUUGCGUUUGUCUCUUAUAGCUGUUACUAAAGCAUGGGAUGGUAUGCGCAUUUUGGGACUUGUUGGUUAUAAAAGGCCCAUUUUUGGUUUAUCCAUAAGACCUUUUGGUUUAAAAAGCCCACUCCUAUCAACAUAUUGAAAGUUCAAAGUAUAGUUCAAAUCUUUUUUUUUACACAUACUAAUCCAAGUCCACUCUCUUAUUAGAAAGUAUUAAAAGCCAUGUUAUUUUUUAUGAUCACUUGAUUAGCCCAAGUUUGCAAGCCCAUUUUCACAUCCCAAAUAUUUGUGCCAAAUUUUAAGUCCUUCAUAGGUCCCUAAAUUAAAUUUGCGUUAUAAAAGCCAUGUUAUUUUUUAUGAUCACUUGAUUAGCCCAAGUUUGCAAGCCCAUUUUCACAUCCCAAAUAUUUGUGCCAAAUUUUAAGUCCUUCAUAGGUCCCUAAAUUAAAUUUGCGUUUUUGAAGCAUGUAUGUGUUGGGUCUAAGCUAAGUCACCAUAUUUAGACUCAUGUUCCAAGAUCCUUUGUUGGUUUCGUGGUUGGAGUUGAACUUUCCAUGCUUAUGAUGUGCAUUUCAUCUUGUUCUUUUAGUUAUAUGAUUAUUUAGCCAAUAAUAAAUAUACUAAGGGAAACCAAUUUGAAUGUUCAUUCUUAUAUUUAUGGUGGUCCAAACAAGUUUUCAAAUGAAAUAUUAAGAUAAGAUUUGAGUGUUUAAAAAAAACUUGAUUACAUAAGCAAGUUCUAAUCUAGGAUAUUAUAAGAUAGUCCAAAGGUUAAUACACAUUAUCCAAAAAAUACAAAGUGUUACAAUUGAAUAAACAAGGUUAUGCUGCAUAUCCAGCUAUUGAAAACAGAGCCUUCAAAGAAACCAUUUCCAAAAGACCAUCCUUUGGAUUGAAGCACCCUAAACCAAAUUCCCUCAUGGAAU
Molecule: long non-coding RNA, 21233 nt
Filed under: Lathyrus oleraceus (garden pea)
Lineage: Eukaryota; Viridiplantae; Streptophyta; Magnoliopsida; Fabales; Fabaceae
Description: Pisum sativum (pea) long non-coding RNA (PSAT_LNC034117)
Source: RNAcentral